UGAAACAGAAGGCACCAAUUCAUUAAUUGGAAUGCACCGAUCUAGCUAUAGCUUCAGCUCCAUAGAUUACAUCGUACUAUUUGACAUAGCAAGAUCAAAAUACCAACAUCCAUCAGUUCAACCUGUGAGGUCGGUACUCGUGCCAUGGUGUCUAGGAAAAUAUGGGCAUCGAGGUCUGCAGAGCACAUGGUCGAGUGUAGUGGCCAAACCGCUGUCAGCCCGAUCACGACCUAAGAUACAGUGUGGACCUGCUGGAGGGAAGCCCAAGCGCAACUUGGACGAUGGCGUACUUGGAGCCGGCGCCAGCUCUCCUGUCCCUACGGCAGCGCACGACCUGCUCCUCCGCCAUGCAUAGCCUCCUCCUCCAUGGCCUUCGCUUCCCUUCCAAGCGGCUGCCAGCGCAGCCGUUGCUCGCCUCCAGAUGGUGUGUCCAGCCACCGCUGCACGAACGUUGUGGCCUGCCGUUCUCUAGAUCAGGCCUCUAGAUCAGCCACAAUAAUUCACCUAGAUUUGGACCACAGGUGUGCUACUGCCGCCUCCUCAAGCGCAUUGACCUGGCACCGAUGAAGCAAGCGUGCGUCGAGGAGAAACAAUCAUCAAUUCAUGUCAUGGAGUACAUUGCACAGUGCGAAAAAAAAUCACCUUCUUCUAUCCGUCUCCUCAAUCCAAGCUCGGCACCAUGACUAAUAGCACAUCCAGCUCACAGCCCGCCAAAACUUGCACAACAAACAAACAAUGAAAAUCAUUAACUUGUAGCAAAUCACUAUGGAGAUAUGUUAAAAUAAACCCAAAGUAACAAUGGAAGAACAAAUACACAUCACUUGUCAUUGUAUAUUUGUGAUGACACAUGUCAGGUCACCCUUGCUAGAUUCUUGCUGGAAAAGUCACUUUCAGAAUUAGUUUCUUAUGAACAUCUCCGCAAAAAAAAAACUUCUUAUGAAAGGUGCUAUGACACAUAUCUUACAUAUCCCUCAUUUGCAUGGUCUUCCUCUACUCCUCCCUAGUUGAAUCCAUGUCUUCUCAAUAUUUUGAGAUCAAAACUAUUUUAUACCAUCAGUUCAAAUAUCAAUUAGACGUAUGUAAAUUUGCUGUUUUGAUGGAAACAUAAAUUAAGCAAUAAUAAUUAGCCAAAUACUCAUGUACAUUGUCAUGAUUAAAGCAAACAAAUUGCAAUUCAUUCACCAGAGUUCGUCAACUUACACAAAAAAGAGCAUCACGCCUUAUCAAAGUACAACCUUGUGGAGCAAAGAUCAUAUGCUUGUGGUCAAAUCGGACACCAAUUUAUCCUUUCUAGACAGAAGACGUACUUGCAUCUCCUGUGAACCUUAUCAUCACAAUCUGGAAUGUUGAGGAACCGGUUCAUUAAGUUUGCAACCAAACUAUAGAAAAUCCGUUCAUGAUCUUAGGAAGAAUUUGAUUUCCUAUUUGACUAUUAAACUGGCAAGUUAAUGAUGUAUGCAAUCAAAAGAAAAAUCAGGCUCUUCUAGGAUGAAGGCAUGUACCUUUAGCAAUGGCAAAAUAUAAAGAUCUAUGGAGGGGAGGAGGAGCCACCAAUAGAUCUGCACAUGAAGAAGCAGAAGGAGGAGCCACCACCAGAUGUGCAUAGGAAGGAC
This 1613-nucleotide long non-coding RNA is filed under the name Triticum aestivum (bread wheat). Its description in RNAcentral is "long non-coding RNA (TAES_LNC006629)". Lineage: Eukaryota; Viridiplantae; Streptophyta; Magnoliopsida; Poales; Poaceae. The record is from RNAcentral.